RNAcentral lists this ribosomal RNA (919 nucleotides) under uncultured archaeon. RNAcentral's name for it is "bacterial SSU rRNA". It matches the Rfam family "Archaeal small subunit ribosomal RNA", at positions 1 to 922 of the family's 1478-position model. The record is from RNAcentral.
UUCCGGUUGAUCCCGCCGGAGGUCAUUGCUAUUGGAGUCCGAUUUAGCCAUGCUAGUUGUACGAGUUUGUACUCGUAGCAGAUAGCUCAGUAACACGUGGCCAAACUACCCUAUGGAUCCGGACAACCUCGGGAAACUGAGGCUAAUCCGGAAUACGACUCUCAGCCUGGAAGUGGCGAGAGUCAGAAACGCUCCGGCGCCAUAGGAUGUGGCUGCGGCCGAUUAGGUAGACGGUGGGGUAACGGCCCACCGUGCCCAUAAUCGGUACGGGUUGUGAGAGCAAGAGCCCGGAGACGGUAUCUGAGACAAGAUACCGGGCCCUACGGGGCGCAGCAGGCGCGAAACCUUUACACUGCACGAAAGUGCGAUAAGGGGACUCCAAGUGCGAGGGCAUAUAGUCCUCGCUUUUCACUACCGUAAGGUGGUAGUAGAAUAAGUGCUGGGCAAGACCGGUGCCAGCCGCCGCGGUAAUACCGGCAGCACGAGUGAUGACCGCUCUUAUUGGGCCUAAAGCGUCCGUAGCUGGCCACGCAAGUCUAUCGGGAAAUCCGCGCGCUCAACGCGCGGGCGUCCGGUGGAAACUGUGGGCUUGGGACCGGAAGAUCCAGAGGGUACGUCCGGGGUAGGAGUGAAAUCCCGUAAUCCUGGACGGACCACCGGUGGCGAAAGCGCUCUGGAAAGACGGAUCCGACGGUGAGGGACGAAAGCUCGGGUCACGAACCGGAUUAGAUACCCGGGUAGUCCGAGCUGUAAACGAUGUCUGCUAGGUGUGCCACAGGCUACGAGCCUGUGGUGUGCCGUAGGGAAGCCGUGAAGCAGACCGCCUGGGAAGUACGUCCGCAAGGAUGAAACUUAAAGGAAUUGGCGGGGGAGCACUACAACCGGAGGAGCCUGCGGUUUAAUUGGAUUCAACGCCGGG